CCUACGGGUGGCAGCAGUGGGGAAUAUUGGGCAAUGGGCGCAAGCCUGAUCCAGCAACGCAGCGUGAAGGAUGAAGGCUCUCGGGUUGUAAACUUCUUUUUACAGGGACGUAGAAAGUGACGGUACCUGAGGAAUAAGCCUCGGCUAACUACGUGCCAGCAGCCGCGGGAAUACGUAUGUGGCAAGCGUUAUCCGGAUUUACUGGGUGUAAAGGGCGUGUAGGCGGGAAAGCAAGUCAGAUGUGAAAACCAUGGGCUCAACCUGUGGCCUGCAGUUGAAACUGUUUUUCGUGAGUACUGGAGAGGCAGACGGAAUUCGUCGUGUAGCGGUGAAAUGCGUAGAUAUGAGGAGGAACACCAGUGGCGAAGGCGGUCUGCUGGACAGCAACUGACGCUGAGGCGCGAAAGCGUGGGGAGCAAACAGGAUUAGAUACCCUUGUAGUC
RNAcentral lists this ribosomal RNA (443 nucleotides) under uncultured bacterium. RNAcentral describes it as "partial 16S ribosomal RNA". It matches the Rfam family "Bacterial small subunit ribosomal RNA", at positions 338 to 795 of the family's 1533-position model. The record is from RNAcentral.